Molecule: long non-coding RNA, 292 nt
Organism: Humulus lupulus (European hop)
Lineage: Eukaryota; Viridiplantae; Streptophyta; Magnoliopsida; Rosales; Cannabaceae
Exons: 2
Source: RefSeq, a predicted model, not a curated record
CAAAGCUUAUAGGAAGGUCCAAACCUUAAGCAAGAACACCAAAGAGGUAAGAGCAAGGGCAAGGCAGAGCAGUGAGCGCUGAAGUCUUCCUUGCAAAUGUACAUGUGGACCGACCUUUUGGGAAGCCUUUUUAUUUUUGGAAAUGUUGUGUAAUUUUCCUAAACUAGGCUCACUCUAAUCUUUGUAAAACAUGUUUGUAACUAAAUGUUAAGUAUGGCCAUACGACUUUUUAAAAAGUUUUUUUUUCUAUGGGUUUUUGAGACAUUUUGUUAAAUGAAAACAUUUAUAUUUC